This 1006-nucleotide long non-coding RNA is filed under the name Capra hircus (goat). RNAcentral's name for it is "lncRNA (ENSCHIG00010017457.1)". Lineage: Eukaryota; Metazoa; Chordata; Mammalia; Artiodactyla; Bovidae. The record is from RNAcentral.
AAAGACAGAAAAGAGGGGAGGCAGGAUGAAAAGAGAGGGAAGAGCAGGGAAAGGAAGGCAUGCAGAGAGAGUCGGAGGAAGGGCGGCGACAGGCAGGCAGGACGGGGCAGGGCGCGGGCUGGCUGGCCGAGCAGCCGUGGCAUUGUGCAACCCGCUGGCUGGCCGGGCCUUUGCCGCGGGACUGGCUCUGGGCGCGGCAGCCACUUCUGUCCGGACACAAAGGAGGAAGAGGCCUCCUCUCCUGCCCCUCCCGGGCGACCUGCUGAGGUGGGGACACCAGGCCUCUAGGAUAUAGNNNNNNNNNNNNNNNNNNNNNNNNNNNNNNNNNNNNNNNNNNNNCUGAGCCACGCUCUCAAUCAAGGAGCAAAGAAGACAGGAUGAAGGAGAAGGUUUCAAGCCCGCCGGCUCCUCCUUUUUGUCUUCGCCAGGGGACAGGGCCCAUGUGUCCCUACCUCAGUCUUCCUAGAAGGAAGCUGCCCCCAAAGCCUCUCUCCUAUGGGCUUCUACUAUUUGGGAAAGCCCCCCAGACACAGUGGCUGUAAACAGAUGCCCCUUUCUCUCCUACCCAGCUUGGCCACCACCUUCUUUUCAACUCUUGAGCAGCCUGCCCACCCGGCAGAGGCAGCAGCAGUGGGGCAGCCAGGAUCACCAGGCCCACGCUCUCUGCUGCCAUCAAAUUCCCUACGGCACUGGGCAGAGGAGAGCCCCCUCAGGGGGAGGAGCACCCUGACUACAUCACCUCAGACCUGGACAGCUGGGAUCACAAUCAAGCUAGCACCACCGUGGGCAGGACAGACAGACAGAAAGACAGCUCAGGCCUGCGCUGGAAGCAGAAACUGAAUUCUCCUGGCCCGCCGCGAGGAGACCAGCGUCUUGCCCCCACCCCAGCCUUUGGCUGGACAGCCUAGGGUUUAGGACGUCUCAGAUGGACAGACAGACAGGCAAACCGCAUCUCCGGAGGCAGACAGACUCACAACAUGAGUGUGAGUCUGAAAUCAAAUACAGG